RNAcentral lists this long non-coding RNA (310 nucleotides) under Homo sapiens (human). RNAcentral's name for it is "HSALNT0182016". Lineage: Eukaryota; Metazoa; Chordata; Mammalia; Primates; Hominidae. The record is from RNAcentral.
UAACUUUUUUCUAUGUAGGAUUUUUUGUUUGUUUGUUAUUUGUUUUUUUAGGGGGUAGGGUAGGGGAUGAAAGGGAUUGCAGGGAGAAGAAGAAGGAAGCUCUUGGUAUUCCAGGAGGAAGCCAGGGUCUUCAGCUUAAGGUGAUCUAGUCUCUGAGGUGGACUACCUCCCCAUUGCUCAGUGGCUCCUAGCAGCUACAGGCCCCUGGAGAGGCAGGCCUUGAGGGGACUACCUCCUGUCUUAAAGCCCUGAGCCAAGGAGGGGCCAGAAGCCAGCCUGCAGCUGAGGCCUCCGCAGUGGCAGAGUCCAG